This is a long non-coding RNA of Actinia tenebrosa (Australian red waratah sea anemone), 2382 nucleotides long. The record is from RefSeq and is a predicted model, not a curated record. Lineage: Eukaryota; Metazoa; Cnidaria; Anthozoa; Actiniaria; Actiniidae.
AUUACAUUCCUAUGUGUACACGAGGCAUUCCUAAUUAAAAAUAUAGAUUUAUGACUAAAUAAUUACUGUCCAAAAUAGUGUCUUUUGACUCUGUCACAUCAAGAGAAUGACACAUGGUCUGAAAUGAGAAAACAUUAUGUCUGAGAUAAAGAGAUCUAAUGGUAUUUCAUUUAGGAAAGUUACCUAAUCAGAAUUUAUAUUCAUGCAAAAUAAUUGUCUCUCUGCCUGCAAGGCUCAUUAGAUCAUGGAAAAUCUUAAAAUGAAAUGACCACAAGUUAAGUUUCCUUACAGUAAAUAAACACAGGUUGAAUCAGCUUCAAGUUUAUUUGCUAGAAUUUUUCCUAGAAAGGUGGCGCUAGUUCUCCCUGAUUUGGCCAUCAAACAGGAAAAAACAUUGGUUUGCCAGUGGCAAAUCCAUGGGUUUAAAAAGAGGGGGCGGGUGGUUCUUGCAGAAAACGCUUAACCAAUAGGGUUCCAAUUUUAUAAUUGCAUAAAGACAUGAUUGGCUUUGCAAGAUCUCACAAAGAGAGGGCUGUGGCCCAUGUAGCCAACAAAGAACCCUGGAUCUGCUAGAGCCUGUGUUCAGCCACUUCCCACCCUUCACACCUUACAGGGGAAAACAGGGAGGGGUGGGAAGCAGCUGUAUUCAGGCUAGAUCUUCUAGGUAACAGCUACACUUUAGAUCAUCCUUGAUUACACUACUGAUGAUUUCUGGUACUUUUGCAUCUACAGGUAAACAGGUUACGCAGAACUCCAAACGAUCAUUUGGAUUGAUUGACAGAAUCAAUGAAGCUGUUGAAGAAAACUGUAGAUCAGUAAAAAAGCAAAAGACAGAUGAAGAUAAGGAGAAAGGCCAAGUGGAUGACUAUGAUGAAUGGAAGAGAAGAAUUCUAGAAGAGGCAGUUAAAGCAAAAGUUUGAGGUUACUAGAAGUAAUAUGAUCGUUACACAUGAUGAUGAGAGGGUCUGAUAAACCAAAUUCACUUGGGUGUAAUGUUUUUCCAUUUCCAACCAAAUCAUUACUUAGACUAUCAUUUCUUUGUUAAGUGCCAGUUGUGCAUGAGAAGAAUAUGGAUGAUACAACUUGAACAAAGAAUUUUAUUCUCAAGGGAAUGACAUGUGUAUUGAGGUUUUUCAUGUGAUGUCAUACUGUAGUGAAAUUUGUUUGAUCUUAAAAAGGAGUUGAUAUUUCAAAGUUGUCAUACGGAUAUAAGUAAAACUGCAAAGUUUGAUGAAGAGUGCACGUAAACUAUAUAUGACUUUUUUUAACAUGAAGUUUUACAAAGAAAGGUAUGUUUCCAGGCAGAAUUAGUCUGACAACAUACAUUUCUUCGUAAAAGUUGUAAGGUAGGUGGAAAAAUUCACACAUUCUCUGGAUUAUCAACAAUCUUCACAAUUAUUAUCAACAAACUUUAUGAUUUUACUAACAUCAUCUAUAUGAACAAUUUCACUGUACAGUAAACUCUCUUUUCUGAUUAAAUGAAAAAAUGAAAAUUUUGGAUAGAGUAGCGUCAGAGUGAAAAACCUUGAUAUCCGAAAUAUGGGAAAACAUUAGGCCCAAAAUGAAUUUGAUCCAUUGACUACCACUAGUGUAGAAUGACACAAGUGGAUCCAAAUCCUAGAUUUUCAUAAUCAGCGGUACUAUGGAACUAAAAUAUUGCACACUUGUUAAUUGACAUAUUUGUGAUGUCCAAAUUACCAAGGUGGAUUACAUUUCAAUUCACAAACAAGCACAACAAUUGAUGAGUUGCAAGCAUUCCCAAGAGAGUCGAAAGACAAAAUCCUAGUGGCCAUAUUGGUGUGAAUUGAGAAAUCUUUUGUUAAAUGGCACCAAUAUGGCCAUGGGGGUGUAACAACAUGUUCAAAAGUAAUGACUUUUGAAUGAAGGGGUGCAGCUCAUCAAAAUCACUUGUGAAGAAAAAAUUAUUAUCCCCUUGACCCUUGUACAGUGGUUUGGCAACCCUUUAUACUUAUCCAAAAAUUUGAUCCCCCCCCCCCCCCCACCCCCAUCCUGCCAAAUAAUUCCUAAGAAAUUGUACAUUACCCUUCCCACUUCAAAAAAAUCUCGACUCCCCAUUUACCAAAGCCUCCUUUUUGCAUUCCACUAAUAAUCAACCAGAAUAUAUUGUACAAAUAAUAUAUAAAGUCAAGAGAGAUAUAACUGUUAACUGUUCUAAAUAUAUCCCAAUGAUUCCCCCCCUUUCUCUGUGCAAUAACAACUGAUUGAACCCAAUUAGUUUUAAUAGUCUUACAUUCACAGUUUUAGUGACACACCUUUUGGUGAAUUUAAACUAUUCAGAAUAUUUCAUUUAAAUACAUUUUUAAUUUCUUUUAUUUUUUUAUUUCUUUCAUUUGACAAAGAUUAAUAAAUGUUAUUACUGAA